This 524-nucleotide ribosomal RNA is filed under the name uncultured bacterium. RNAcentral's name for it is "partial 16S ribosomal RNA". It matches the Rfam family "Bacterial small subunit ribosomal RNA", at positions 28 to 523 of the family's 1533-position model. The record is from RNAcentral.
GACGAACGCUGGCGGCGUGCCUAAUACAUGCAAGUCGAGCGCAGGAAAUCGAUGGAACCCUUCGGGGGGAAGUCGACGGAAUGAGCGGCGGACGGGUGAGCAACACGUAAAGAACCUGCCCUCAGGUCUGGGAUAACCACGAGAAAUCGGGGCUAAUACCGGAUGGGUCAUCGGACCGCAUGGUCCGAGGAUGAAAGGCGCUUCGGUGUCGCCUGGGGAUGGCUUUGCGGUGCAUUAGCUAGUUGGUGGGGUAAUGGCCCACCAAGGCGACGAUGCAUAGCCGACCUGAGAGGGUGAUCGGCCACACUGGGACUGAGACACGGCCCAGACUCCUACGGGAGGCAGCAGUAGGGAAUCGUCCACAAUGGACGAAAGUCUGAUGGAGCAACGCCGCGUGAACGAUGAAGGCCUUCGGGUCGUAAAGUUCUGUUGUAAGGGAAGAACAAGUGCCGCAGGCAAUGGCGGCACCUUGACGGUACCUUGCGAGAAAGCCACGGCUAACUACGUGCCAGCCGCCGCGGUAA